ACGGAGGGUGCGAGCGUUAAUCGGAAUCACUGGGCGUAAAGCGCACGUAGGCGGUGUCGUAAGUCGGAUGUGAAAGCCCUCGGCUCAACCGGGGAACUGCAUUUGAUACUGCGAUGCUUGAGUGCCGGAGAGGGUGACGGAAUUCCAGGUGUAGGAGUGAAAUCCGUAGAUAUCUGGAGGAACACCGAUGGCGAAGGCAACCACCUGGCCGUCAACUGACGCUGAUGUGCGAAAGCGUGGGGAUCAAACAG
Molecule: ribosomal RNA, 251 nt
Filed under: uncultured prokaryote
Description: partial 16S rRNA
Rfam family: Bacterial small subunit ribosomal RNA
Source: RNAcentral